GGGAAUAUUGGACAAUGGGCGGAAGCCUGAUCCAGCAACGCCGCGUGAGGGAUGACGGCCUUCGGGUUGUAAACCUCUUUCAGCACAGACGAAGCGCAAGUGACGGUAUGUGCAGAAGAAGGACCGGCCAACUACGUGCCAGCAGCCGCGGUAAUACGUAGGGUCCGAGCGUUGUCCGGAAUUAUUGGGCGUAAAGGGCUCGUAGGCGGUUUGUCGCGUCGGGAGUGAAAACACCGGGCUUAACUCGGCGCUUGCUUUCGAUACGGGCAGACUAGAGGUAUUCAGGGGAGAACGGAAUUCCUGGUGUAGCGGUGAAAUGCGCAGAUAUCAGGAGGAACACCGGUGGCGAAGGCGGUUCUCUGGGAAUAUCCUGACGCUGAGGAGCGAAAGUGUGGGGAGCGAACAGA
Molecule: ribosomal RNA, 407 nt
Filed under: uncultured bacterium
Lineage: Bacteria
Description: bacterial SSU rRNA
Rfam family: Bacterial small subunit ribosomal RNA
Source: RNAcentral